GACGAACGCUGGCGGCGGGCUUAACACAUGCAAGUCGAACGGAAAGGCCCUGCUUUCGCGGGGUGCUCGCGUGGCGAACGGGUGAGUAACCCGUGAGUAACCUGCCCUUGACUUUGGGAUAACUUCAGGAAACUGGGGCUAAUACCGGAUAGGAGCUCCUGCUGCAUGGGGGGGGUUGGAAAGCUUCGGCGGUUGUGGAUGGAUUCUCGGCUUAUCAGCUUGUUGGUCGGGUAGUGGCCUACCAAGUCUUUGACUGGUAGCCUGCCUGAGAGCGUGACCGCCCACCUGGGUACUGCGGGACGGCCCAGUCUCCUACGGUGGACAGCAGGGGGGAAUAUUGCCCAACGGGCGGACGCCUGAUGCAGCGACGCCGCGUUCGGGAUGACGGCCUUCUGGUUGUAAACCGCUUUCGCCUGUGACGAAGCGGUAGUGACGGUAAUGGGUAAAGAAGCACCGGCUAACUACGUG
This 468-nucleotide ribosomal RNA is filed under the name uncultured bacterium. Its description in RNAcentral is "partial 16S ribosomal RNA". It matches the Rfam family "Bacterial small subunit ribosomal RNA", at positions 28 to 507 of the family's 1533-position model. The record is from RNAcentral.